This is an RNA transcript of Felis catus (domestic cat), 1918 nucleotides long. It is a transcript of the gene named epididymal protein 13, with no coding region annotated. The record is from RefSeq and is a predicted model, not a curated record. Lineage: Eukaryota; Metazoa; Chordata; Mammalia; Carnivora; Felidae. The transcript has 12 exons.
AAAGACUGGGCACUUCCUUCUGGAGUCAGUAACGGCUUGUUCCCCCAUCUCUUCCUACCAUGGUGGGGGAAUGGUCCCUCCCCUCCCCAGCUCACUGAAGCUCCCUCCAAAAUCAAAUGCAGAGACUCCAGCAUCUCACAGAGGAAUCCUAGGUAUGAUGAGCAGGUUGUCAACGGACGAUAGGACAGAAGAAGAAAUGAAAGUAUUGAAACAGAUCCUAGGUUUGCUGAGCCUCCAGGUGCUAAGCGAAGAAACAAAUGAUUGCAAGGAAGCAGGGAAGAUUUCCCUAGCCACUGCCACCUCCACCAAGAAACCACCCACGAAACGGACCAGAUGGAACUUGUUGAAAUGCACUUAUAUGAUGGUCACCUUCCUGUUUGUGUCCUACAACAAAGGAGACUGGCAGGCCCCUUGCUGGAUGCCGGGACUACAAGACCCCACAAGGUCCCUGGACCCCACAAGCUCACAGGAUAGGGGCAGGACAGAAACAAAACAGACAGUGAGCUCCAGGAAAGGAAGCGAAUCAGGGGAUCUGUCAGAGCACGCAAAGCGGUGGGCUGCUUUACUGGAAAAGGCGAGCUGAGCUGGCGGAAGCAGCCUGCCUUGAGAGCUGCAGGGACAGCCGUCCUGAGCAAAGGGAACAUGCGAGGCAAAGACCCGAGGCUGAACUGCACUGUGUGCCUCUGAGGGACCAAAGGAAAGUCUGCAUGAGUUGGGAGAGCCAGAGGGCAUCCCAUAGGAAGGAAGGAAGGAAGGAAGGAAGGAAGGAAGGAAGGAAGGAAGGAAGGAAGGAAGGAAGGAAAGUUCUAUUCUAAGUUGGGUGGAGAGCCAUCCACAAGAUCUGACAUCAAGUAGGAAAGGGUCAGUCUGGGUGCUGAAUGAGGACCUGGGUGGCUCAGUCCUUUGAGCCUCAGUAUUCAGCUCAGGUCAUGACUUCUUGCCUCAUGGCUCUUGAGUUCGAGCCCCUGAGCCCCUCGUAGGGCUCUGUGCUGACAGCUCAGCUCAGAGCCUGGAGCCUGCUUUGGAUUCUGUGUCUCCCUCUCUCUCUCUGCCCCUCCCCUGCUCACACUCUGUCUCUCUCUGAAAAAUAAAAUAAAAAUGCUAACGGGUUGCAUGUGAGGGACGAGGAAAAUGGCACCAAGGAGAUGAGCCUCAGGCUUGGACUUGGGCCCUUGGUUAGACCGGUGGUUCUCCAGUGGGGUAACCUUGCCCCCCAGAGGGCACAGCAGCAUCUGGGGAUACUGUUGGCUGUCAUGACUGGGGACGGGGUGCUACUGGCCUUUAGUGGGAGGAGGCCAGGGAUCCUGCUCGACAUCCUGCAUUGCAUAGGCCAGCUACCCCCAAAUAAACAGUGAUCCAGCUCAAAAUGUCAGUAGCGAUCAAGCUGAGAAACCCCAGGGGAGAGGACGGUUACUGAUGAGGAUGGGAAGAGCUGGCUGGAAGAUGGGACAGAAGGUGGGAGGUGAGGGCGACAGACCAGCAGGCCCUCAGGGUGUCACAACAACAGGGAAGGGGAGAAAGCCAGGGGAGGAACUCGACCUACCUCACCCCUCCUGUUUCUUUCUCUGUUUCCGGUUCACUUCCUCCUCAACCACCCAAGUGUUACUGUCACUCCUGCAGCACGGAAGUGGACAUCAGGAACGACCCCUGCUGCUCUUUCUAGCGACCCUGCUCCGUCCCCUCUGGGCGGUCGCCAGUCCUUCAUCUACCCGCUAGUCUCUCCCCAAGAACCCUGUCUUCCCGGGACCGCCAGUUUGGAGAGUGACGGACUGGGUCCUCUGAGGGGUGACACCUGUCUCUGCAGGAAGGUGACCCUGAGGGUCCUGAGGAGGUGGACCCAGGGCGAGCGAGGGCCCUUAGGGGGCUUUCCACACCGCUGUCCGUGGCCUCUUCCCACCCCCCCACCCCCACUGUUUCU